AGGUCGGUGGUGCAACAGUUAGCAUACACUCCAGUAAAGAGUGAGAUCUGGGUUCAAAUUCCGGCUGACGCA
Non-coding RNA from Parelaphostrongylus tenuis, 72 nucleotides. Lineage: Eukaryota; Metazoa; Nematoda; Chromadorea; Rhabditida; Metastrongylidae. The record is from the annotation of a GenBank genome assembly.